RNAcentral lists this ribosomal RNA (497 nucleotides) under uncultured bacterium. Its description in RNAcentral is "partial 16S ribosomal RNA". It matches the Rfam family "Bacterial small subunit ribosomal RNA", at positions 28 to 507 of the family's 1533-position model. The record is from RNAcentral.
GAUGAACGCUGGCGGCGUGCCUAAUACAUGCAAGUCGAGCGAACAGACGAGGAGCUUGCUCCUCUGACGUUAGCGGCGGACGGGUGAGUAACACGUGGAUAACCUACCUAUAAGACUGGGAUAACUUCGGGAAACCGGAGCUAAUACCGGAUAAUAUAUUGAACCGCAUGGUUCAAUAGUGAAAGACGGUUUUGCUGUCACUUAUAGAUGGAUCCGCGCCGCAUUAGCUAGUUGGUAAGGUAACGGCUUACCAAGGCAACGAUGCGUAGCCGACCUGAGAGGGUGAGCGGCCACACGGGAACUGAGACACGGGCCAGACUCCUACGGGAGGCAGCAGUAGGGAAUCUUCCGCAAUGGGCGAAAGCCUGACGGAGCAACGCCGCGUGAGUGAUGAAGGUCUUCGGAUCGUAAAACUCUGUUAUUAGGGAAGAACAAAUGUGUAAGUAACUAUGCACGUCUUGACGGUACCUAAUCAGAAAGCCACGGCUAACUACGUG